GAGUACGGCCGCAAGGUUAAAACUCAAAUGAAUUGACGGGGGCCCGCACAAGCGGUGGAGCAUGUGGUUUAAUUCGAUGCAACGCGAAGAACCUUACCUGGUCUUGACAUCCACAGAACUUAGCAGAGAUGCUUUGGUGCCUUCGGGAACUGUGAGACAGGUGCUGCAUGGCUGUCGUCAGCUCGUGUUGUGAAAUGUUGGGUUAAGUCCCGCAACGAGCGCAACCCUUAUCCUUUGUUGCCAGCGGU
RNAcentral lists this ribosomal RNA (248 nucleotides) under Klebsiella pneumoniae subsp. pneumoniae. RNAcentral's name for it is "partial 16S ribosomal RNA". It matches the Rfam family "Bacterial small subunit ribosomal RNA", at positions 878 to 1125 of the family's 1533-position model. Lineage: Bacteria; Pseudomonadati; Pseudomonadota; Gammaproteobacteria; Enterobacterales; Enterobacteriaceae. The record is from RNAcentral.